UCGGUCGUAAUAUGGCUAAACAUUAGGUCACCGAAAUGGUGUCGUUAAUUAGUCUUCUCAUUUCAUAGAACUACUUGUCAGAUAUCGGAUGUUACACCAGCCGAAAAUGCAUAUUCAGGGAAAGCCAUGUAUGCCAACCCGCUGAGAAUUCUCUAUCCUUCGGAGGACAGUAUCGCUGACCUGCAGCAAGAGAUACUCCAGCACCCUAUCACAACCAACCAUAUCCUCUUUCCACCAAGCCCUUCCGGACCCCCGCUGAACUUCACUGAAGGUCCCUUAAGGCCGAAUUAUGUCGUCUUCACCUUCACACUCUUCUUUACUUUUGUGGGCGUUCUUGGGAACUUUGUUGUCAUCAUUACGUUCUCGUCCACUCCUAAACUUCGAAACCAAACAGGUCUGUGCAUGAUAAACUUGGCCAUAGCUGAUUUCAUAAUAGGUGUCUUCUACUUGUGUGUAAGCUUGCCCUGUUCACUUCAUGGCGACUGUCUCAUCAUAAGCAGC
This is a long non-coding RNA of Lytechinus variegatus (green sea urchin), 501 nucleotides long. RefSeq lists it as uncharacterized. The record is from RefSeq and is a predicted model, not a curated record. The transcript has 3 exons. Lineage: Eukaryota; Metazoa; Echinodermata; Echinoidea; Temnopleuroida; Toxopneustidae.